UACGAAGGGGGCUAGCGUUGCUCGGAAUCACUGGGCGUAAAGGGUUGCGUAGGCGGGUCUUUAAGUCAGGGGUGAAAUCCUGGAGCUCAACUCCAGAACUGCCUUUGAUACUGAGGAUCUUGAGUUCGGGAGAGGUGAGUGGAACUGCGAAGUGUAGAGGUGAAAAUUCGUAGAUAUUCGCAAGAACACCAGUGGCGAAGGCGGCUCACUGGCCCGAUACUGACGCUGAGGCACGAAAGCGUGGGGAGCAAACAGG
Molecule: ribosomal RNA, 256 nt
Filed under: uncultured bacterium
Lineage: Bacteria
Description: partial 16S ribosomal RNA
Rfam family: Bacterial small subunit ribosomal RNA
Source: RNAcentral